This 69-nucleotide transfer RNA is filed under the name Bacteroidota bacterium. RNAcentral's name for it is "Bacteroidetes bacterium (activated sludge metagenome) tRNA-Met". It matches the Rfam family "tRNA". From Rfam's summary of the family: Transfer RNA (tRNA) molecules are approximately 80 nucleotides in length. The record is from RNAcentral. Lineage: Bacteria; Pseudomonadati; Bacteroidota.
GGGGUGGAGCAGAGGUAGCUCGUUGGGCUCAUAACCCAAAGGUCAUAGGUUCGAGUCCUACCCACCUUA